UGAAGUGCCGCAGAACUGAGCAAUACUCGCGCUGUGUGUUCAUUACCGAACACUGAAUAUGUGUGCGAAAUAUCUUGCUCCAACUGUUCGUAGUUUUUUAGAAAACAGUUUUUUUAGUUCCCACGCCCGGCCGUCAGACCGUCGGCAAACCCUGCGCACGGGCGCACCGACGUCACCGCUCUCGGUUUAUCUGUCUUUGGCUUGGCAUGGACUCUUGGCUUGGCCGCUUGGCUUCUUUCGUUUCGUCCUCUGUGCAUCGUACAUAAGCGAACAGCUGUUAUGUUGUUGCUAAACCGGAAACAAAGCAUGUGAAUAUUUUUUUUUGGCACGGCGUCGUUUGGAAAGUGCACUUCCUUGUUCUGACCUUGCCUUUUAUGGGCUGGAGCGAUACGAUACGUGAUAUGCCACGGCGAAGUUGUCGAAGAUGCGACGGUGCUACGCUGUUAGAACAAUUCAUCGGAGCAUUCAAGUGUUACCUAUUAUAAGCUGCCAAAAGACCAAGCAGUGCGAAGCUCUUGGCUGACAGUGGUGCCUGCUAAUUUCCACUGCAAGGAUUUCGUCCACAAAUGUUAUCAUAGGUUACGAGCGACUCCAGAGGCAAUUUGGAAUCUCGGCACGAAAUCGUCUGAUGAAAAUCUGAAGUGCCCGACGCACAACAUUUUGAACGUGCCACGGAGGAUCAAGGCAAAAAACGAGAGCAAAAAAGGUGCACGCUGAAGGCGGAAAUGAAGCAUGAUCUGGCUUGCAUCUGGUGCAUGAAGAAAUUGCUGGCACGUUAGUUGCAGUCUACCUCCACCAACAGGGUGGAAAACAAAGGUCGCCAUUCCGAUUAGCUGCUAUCUCCCAGUUCAAGCACUUUUGCUGUCUGGACACUGGUUCCUGUGGAUGGGGUGUUACAAGCUUCACUGUCUGAUAUAGAAGUGAUGAGCAUCCAUAAGGACACAUGCCAGAAAGGGAGUCUCUUUGGGAUGACAAACCCUCAUCACCUCAUGAGGAUACAAUGGUUGACGAAUGGUUCUCAAGUACAUCGAAACUUCAACAAAUAAUUCAUGAAGAAGCCAGUCAGUGCUAGCACCAGGAAUUGAACGUGGACCGUCCUGCUACCAGUCAGAGAUGUUACAUUUCAGGCGCUCAUUGACUUUUGGUGAAUUACUUGUUGACUUUGUCCCAAGGUGGAGCUCGCCACAGCUCAUUUGCCUAUCUGUUAAUGUUGUGGCGUGUGUUGCGUUUUUCUCUUUGUGUGUUCCAGACUCAGAAUGGUUAAUUUGGAUCAGGUCAGGUACGUUUCAUUUAGACAUGGCAAACAUAAAGUGGUGUUUCUCAACACAACUUAGCAGUGGCCUUCAUGCAUUACUGCUAUGGCCAUUAAGCGUGAAUGGAAAGCUCCACAUUAUGCAUGAUGUAAAACCCCAAGACUAGGGAACACGAAGGGACA
Long non-coding RNA from Ornithodoros turicata, 1435 nucleotides. RefSeq lists it as uncharacterized. The transcript has 4 exons. NCBI's taxonomy places the organism in Eukaryota, Metazoa, Arthropoda, Arachnida, Ixodida, Argasidae. The record is from RefSeq and is a predicted model, not a curated record.